CAACGCAUCUUUGGUACAGUUAAAUAGCUAGACAUGGCAUAGGAAAACCGUGGAAGAUGCUAGCUAGCUAUCCAGUUAGCCGAGACAUUUCAGCGUGACAAAAUUAAUUCGCAGUAUUGUACAUGGAAUGGUGGAUCGUGUGAUGCGGUUUCUGGACUCUGUCAUAUCUUGCUGCUGAUCGCUGGAAAUUCUUGGCCACGUUCCCAGCAGCGCAAGGUCAUGGCUAAAAGGGAUCCAUCUUUUGUCAUAUUAACUUCAAAAGUAAAUGUUUGCAUUUUACAAAACCCUUUUCCUAACCUUAACCUAAGUCUCAUAACCUGCUACGUUAAUUAUACUAACCUGCUGCAUAAGUUCUAGCCUGCUACGAAAAUUAAAUUAAAUUAAUUUGACAAAAGCUGCAUCCCUUCUAGCCAUGGCGCACCGCAGCCUCCUGGGGCUGAUUUAGCCAAUGUUCCCACCCAGGAAUCCAGGACUUCUGACAGCAACCAGGCCAGACUCCGUCAGCCUCUCCCGGGCUGUGGCCCAAGGCCAGCCAGGAACCUGUCCCUCAAAAGGCUGUCUCCCGUCUUCAUGGAGCUCCCAGAGAAACAGCCACUCUCUUUUCUUUAAUGACAAUUUCUCAAAACUGCCUGCCACACCCCAUUUGUUUUCUCUCCCCCCUGACCUCUCCCGCCCCACAUGGUCUGGAAGCAGUUAAAACCAUGCUGUUAGAUGUGAAGGCCAAGGUUAAAUGGGGACAGUUUAAUGGCAACAUUUGAACAGAGCUUUUUCAUGUUGAAACAAGUAUUUUUUAGACUUUGUUAAAGCUUGUUUGGAUUAAAUAUCAGUUUUCGAUUA
Molecule: long non-coding RNA, 837 nt
Organism: Salmo salar (Atlantic salmon)
Lineage: Eukaryota; Metazoa; Chordata; Actinopteri; Salmoniformes; Salmonidae
Source: RefSeq, a predicted model, not a curated record